CCUACGGGUGGCAGCAGUGAGGAAUAUUGGUCAAUGGACGAGAGUCUGAACCAGCCAAGUAGCGUGAAGGAUGACUGCCCUAUGGGUUGUAAACUUCUUUUAUAAAGGAAUAAAACGAGGCACGUGUGCCUGUUUGCAUGUACUUUAUGAAUAAGGAUCGGCUAACUCCGUGCCAGCAGCCGCGGUAAUACGGAGGAUCCGAGCGUUAUCCGGAUUUAUUGGGUUUAAAGGGAGCGUAGAUGGGUUGUUAAGUCAGUUGUGAAAGUUUGCGGCUCAACCGUAAAAUUGCAAUUGAUACUGGCAGUCUUGAGUACAGUUGAGGUAGGCGGAAUUCGUGGUGUAGCGGUGAAAUGCUUAGAUAUCACGAAGAACCCCGAUUGCGAAGGCAGCUUACUAAACUGUGACUGACAUUGAGGCUCGAAAGUGUGGGUAUCAAACAGGAUUAGAUACCCUUGUAGUC
This 460-nucleotide ribosomal RNA is filed under the name uncultured bacterium. RNAcentral's name for it is "partial 16S ribosomal RNA". It matches the Rfam family "Bacterial small subunit ribosomal RNA", at positions 338 to 795 of the family's 1533-position model. The record is from RNAcentral.